This 861-nucleotide ribosomal RNA is filed under the name Triticum aestivum (bread wheat). RNAcentral's name for it is "partial small subunit ribosomal RNA". The record is from RNAcentral. Lineage: Eukaryota; Viridiplantae; Streptophyta; Magnoliopsida; Poales; Poaceae.
AUGGUGCCCGGUUAUAGCAAUCUUGGAGAUUACCUGCCUGACGAUGUACAUUAUGAAAUCAUGGAGGUGGACAAACACAAAUACCAUUACGGGAAGCCUCUCGUCAAAGAUGAAAGAUCUCUAAGCACGAUGAUGCGAAGACUACAUGAUUGGUACAUGAAAACCUGCAGAGAGUCUGAUGGGAUGCAUACUUUGACGCUGAGAGUUAAACCGGAGCAUGACCUCGUUGGAAUUGAUCUGCUGAAUGUUCCAUUUGAGGAUUUCUUCCAGUUUUACAAUCAAAAGGCCCUCGAUAAAACAACAAUCACUUGCUACUGUCUAUUGAAGAUCGCCGAAUUGAAGAAAAGACAAAUCAGUGAUAUUGGGCUCAUUAACACAAAUCUCAUAGAUGCAUAUACGGUUGAAAAACAUCCCAAAGAAGCCGAGGCCAACUUGCUACAAUCGUUGGUAUUAAAUCAAAACAAAGAUAUAAUACUAUUUCCUUACAACUUCAACUUCCACUAUAUUCUCCUAGAGAUUAAGAUUGAGCAGGGAGUAGUAACCGUCUUAGACUCGAGACGAAAAGAUCCCCAGGACUAUGCGAACAUGACUCAAAUGCUCGAGAAGGUUUGGAGAAAAUUCACCUCAAAAGCUCUGGGACUGCCGAAGAAGCUGCAAUUUAAUCACCCGAAAUGGUUGUGGCAGGAACCCGGUAAUAAUUACUGUGGAUACUACGUUUGCGAGUCCAUCCGCUACACGACCUGUGAGCGGGGCUACACUGAAGAACAAUAUGAAAUGUUUCGGAAGCGGGAUGAACUCCUAGCACCAGAUCGUAUGCGAGAAUUCAAGAGGAAUUUGCGGCAUUCUUCCUUGAGCACGUGA